GACGAACGCUGGCGGCGUGCCUAAUACAUGCAAGUCGAACGCUUCUUUCCUCCCGAGUGCUUGCACUCAAUUGGAAAGAGGAGUGGCGGACGGGUGAGUAACACGUGGGUAACCUACCCAUCAGAGGGGGAUAACACUUGGAAACAGGUGCUAAUACCGCAUAACAGUUUAUGCCGCAUGGCAUAAGAGUGAAAGGCGCUUUCGGGUGUCGUUGAUGGAUGGACCCGCGGUGCAUUAGCUAGUUGGUGAGGUAACGGCUCACCAAGGCCACGAUGCAUAGCCGACCUGAGAGGGUGAUCGGCCACACUGGGACUGAGACACGGCCCAGACUCCUACGGGAGGCAGCAGUAGGGAAUCUUCGGCAAUGGACGAAAGUCUGACCGAGCAACGCCGCGUGAGUGAAGAAGGUUUUCGGAUCGUAAAACUCUGUUGUUAGAGAAGAUCAAGGACGCUAGUAACUGAACGUCCCCUGACGGUAUCUAACCAGAAAGCCACGGCUAACUACGUG
This 508-nucleotide ribosomal RNA is filed under the name uncultured bacterium. Its description in RNAcentral is "partial 16S ribosomal RNA". It matches the Rfam family "Bacterial small subunit ribosomal RNA", at positions 28 to 507 of the family's 1533-position model. The record is from RNAcentral.